CCUACGGGUGGCAGCAGUCGAGAAUCAUUCACAAUGGGGGAAACCCUGAUGGUGCGACGCCGCGUGGGGGAAUGAAGGUCUUCGGAUUGUAAACCCCUGUCAUGUGGGAGCAAAUUAAAAAGAUAGUACCACAAGAGGAAGAGACGGCUAACUCUGUGCCAGCAGCCGCGGUAAUACAGAGGUCUUAAGCGUUGUUCGGAAUCACUGGGCGUAAAGCGUGCGUAGGCUGUUUCGUAAGUCGUGUGUGAAAGGUGCGGGCUGAACCCGCGGACGGCACAUGAUACUGCGAGACUAGAGUAAUGGAGGGGGAAGCGGAAUGCUCGGUGUAGCAGUGAAAUGCGUAGAUAUCGAGAAGAACACUCGUGGCGAAGGCGGGUUCCUGGACAUUAACUGACGCUGAGGCACGAAGGCCAGGGGAGCGAAAGGGAUUAGAUACCCGUGUAGUC
Molecule: ribosomal RNA, 446 nt
Filed under: uncultured bacterium
Lineage: Bacteria
Description: partial 16S ribosomal RNA
Rfam family: Bacterial small subunit ribosomal RNA
Source: RNAcentral